AUUGAACGCUGGCGGCAUGCCUUACACAUGCAAGUCGAACGGCAGCACGGGAGCAAUCCUGGUGGCGAGUGGCGAACGGUGAGUAAUGUAUCGGAACGUACCUUCAGUGGGGAUAACGUAGCGAAAGUUACGCUAAUACCGCAUAUUCUGUGAGCAGGAAAGCAGGGGAUCGCAAGACCUUGCGCUGAUUGAGCGGCCGAUAUCAGAUUAGCUAGUUGGUGAGGUAAAGGCUCACCAAGGCGACGAUCUGUAGCGGGUCUGAGAGGAUGAUCCGCCACACUGGAACUGAGACACGGUCCAGACUCCUACGGGAGGCAGCAGUGGGGAAUUUUGGACAAUGGGCGCAAGCCUGAUCCAGCCAUGCCGCGUGAGUGAAGAAGGCCUUCGGGUUGUAAAGCUCUUUCAGCCGGGAAGAAAACGCAUGGGUUAAUACCCUGUGUGGAUGACGGUACCGGAAUAAGAAGCACCGGCUAACUACGUG
This 481-nucleotide ribosomal RNA is filed under the name uncultured bacterium. RNAcentral describes it as "bacterial SSU rRNA". It matches the Rfam family "Bacterial small subunit ribosomal RNA", at positions 30 to 507 of the family's 1533-position model. The record is from RNAcentral.